GACGAACGCUGGCGGCGUGCUUAACACAUGCAAGUCGAACGGAAAGGCCUGCUUUCCCUUGUGGAUUGCGGGUACUCGAGUGGCGAACGGGUGAGUAACACGUGAGUGAUCUGCCCCCAACUUGGGUAUAAGCCUGGGAAACUGGGUCUAAUUCCCGAUAGGACUGCAGGGUGGUGCCUGUGGUGGAAAACGAUUUUCUAGUGGUUGGGGAUGAGCUCGCGGCCUAUCAGCUUGUUGGUGGGGUAAUGGCCUACCAAGGCGGCGACGGGUAGCCGGCCUGAGAGGGUGGACGGCCACAUUGGGACUGAGAUACGGCCCAGACUCCUACGGGAGGCAGCAGUGGGGAAUAUUGCACAAUGGGCGGAAGCCUGAUGCAGCGACGCCGCGUGGGGGAUGACGGCCUUCGGGUUGUAAACUCCUUUCGACCGCGAGGAAGCCACCUGGUUGGAAGGGUGGUGACGGUAGUGGUAGAAGAAGCACCGGCCAACUACGUG
This 494-nucleotide ribosomal RNA is filed under the name uncultured bacterium. Its description in RNAcentral is "partial 16S ribosomal RNA". It matches the Rfam family "Bacterial small subunit ribosomal RNA", at positions 28 to 507 of the family's 1533-position model. The record is from RNAcentral.